CUGUAGUCUGUAAUGGACUGGCCUGAGGUCUCACUACAAACAAGCGUCUGCUGGAAGAGAGUAGGUGAGUUGUGUUUAGUCCCUUUGCUAAAGAAAUGAGUCAAAGUUAAAAAGAUGUUUGGUGUCUAGUACUAUGUCUGUGACCCUAUAUGUCCUGUUGAUGAAGUUAGGUGCUGUUCUGAGCAUUAUUUGUGGCUAUAGAUUGG
Molecule: non-coding RNA, 206 nt
Organism: Xyrichtys novacula (pearly razorfish)
Lineage: Eukaryota; Metazoa; Chordata; Actinopteri; Labriformes; Labridae
Source: the annotation of a GenBank genome assembly